CCUACGGGAGGCAGCAGUGGGGAAUAUUGGACAAUGGGGGCAACCCUGAUCCAGCCAUGCCGCGUGUGUGAAGAAGGCCCUCGGGUUGUAAAGCACUUUCAGUGAGGAAGAACGCCUGGUGGUUAAUACCCAUCAGGAAAGACAUCACUCACAGAAGAAGCACCGGCUAACUCCGUGCCAGCAGCCGCGGUAAUACGGAGGGUGCGAGCGUUAAUCGGAAUUACUGGGCGUAAAGCGCGCGUAGGUGGCUUGAUAAGCCGGUUGUGAAAGCCCCGGGCUCAACCUGGGAACGGCAUCCGGAACUGUCAAGCUAGAGUGCAGGAGAGGAAGGUAGAAUUCCCGGUGUAGCGGUGAAAUGCGUAGAGAUCGGGAGGAAUACCAGUGGCGAAGGCGGCCUUCUGGACUGACACUGACCCUGAGGUGCGAAAGCGUGGGUAGCAAACAGGAUUAGAUACCCGAGUAGUC
Molecule: ribosomal RNA, 465 nt
Filed under: Vreelandella stevensii
Lineage: Bacteria; Pseudomonadati; Pseudomonadota; Gammaproteobacteria; Oceanospirillales; Halomonadaceae
Description: partial 16S ribosomal RNA
Rfam family: Bacterial small subunit ribosomal RNA
Source: RNAcentral